Molecule: long non-coding RNA, 1759 nt
Organism: Dioscorea cayenensis subsp. rotundata (Guinea yam)
Lineage: Eukaryota; Viridiplantae; Streptophyta; Magnoliopsida; Dioscoreales; Dioscoreaceae
Exons: 4
Source: RefSeq, a predicted model, not a curated record
UUUUUCAAAACCCCCGUCCCAUUUCCUCGACAUCCUCUCCGCCCGCACCUCCGGUCAUCUUUUCCUCAACUCCAUCCCACUCCCACUCCCACUCCGUCCUUCCCUCGUUCGCCGCAUCUCCUCCCACGUUCCCCAACACGACUUCUUCUUUUCCGACGUCGAACGCCGCCGCAUCUCCAUUGGAACCGUACUCCGCUUCCUCUCUUCCUCCUCCUCCUUCCCUUCAUUUUGGUCCCGAUCUUGGGGAACUAGGGGGUUUUGAGCGGACCUUGAGUUAGUAAGCUGUGGGGUCUGGAUUGAAGCGUGUUUAAUUGCAGGAAUAAGAAUGACAUUGUUAAGGUUCUAGAAAUUGUCAUUUCUCUGGUGAUUGCUUUCCUGUUGAUUUUGCGCUAUUUGCGUAUGCUUCUGGAGGAGCAGAAAUUUGGCAAAAAUAUUCCUGAUUGGUAAAAGUGAUCCUCUGCAUAUCCCAUCCAAAAGAAGAGAGAAAGUAAAGAAGUCCUGAGAACCAUAGCUCAUCUUCGCCCUUGAACUAGUACAUUUGGUGCGGUAUGUUCUGUUUUUUUGCUAACUGUAGGUGUAUGGAGUUGGAAGAAAUGAACUUUAACUACAGAACUAGGGUGUUUUCCCCUAUGAUUUAUGAAAAAUAACUAAAGUACCAAGGCAUGUAGGAAGCAUCAGACAAAUUUUGAAUGUUUUACUCUAUCCAUAGAACAACUGGAAUAUAAAUAGUAACUGCCACUUUUUUAAUGAUAAAAUAUCUGCUCUUCUCUUCUGUUCACAAUCCUUCCAUCAAUGAUGGCUUCUGCAACUUUUGUCUGCCCUUGCAGGAUCUCUUCUUUCACCUUUACGUGACAUCAGUUUGGAGAAACUGAUCGGUUAUUUAUGGAAUUAUCUAUCAUCAUCACCAUCACCAUCUUCCCCUGAUGAAGCAGAGAAACAACUACUGAAGGAUUCACUGGAAGCAAAACAUAAACAAAACGAGAGGGUUGUGCAUUUGCACAACAAACUCAAAGAUGUUGGUUAUGACAUACAAGACUUGGAAUCAGAGAUGAAGUACAUGGAGCUGGAGAGAAAGGUGCAGGAGAUCAACAUGGCUGAAUUGUUCCUCACCUCCUCACACACAACAUGAUCUGCAACUCUGCUUGGAUCUUCACUAGGAAAAGUUCCGUUGAUUGGUUAUUCAUUGGAGCAUACACAGCCAUAUGAAACAGAGACUUGGAGCCAAAUGGAGCGGUAGCAGGGCUAUGCACAUACAGAUAAUCACUCAUCUUCUUUUCUUCUGCAAUAUUAUAAAAGUUGUGUAUAACUGAAGGAGUCAUAACUGUGUACCCUUGAGUCACCUGCAGAAUCUCUGAGCGAAAAAGACCCCGGAACUCUGAUCGCAAUUUGUAAAGCAAAUGCUUCAAACUCCUCCUCAUUCAUCUCAAUGUCUUUGGCAAAUGCAGGCUUUCUUGGUAGGAUCCAGCCCAGCCCCAGCCCCAGUCCCACCACUUUCUCAGAGGUCCUCCAGCAAAUUCCCAGAAGGAUGGCAUCGACUAGGACCGCCUGAAUGCCCAUGCAGUGGAUGCAGAUGUAAGUGGCUGCACAUUAAUGGAGAAGGAUGAAAGCCUUCUCCUCAACUUUGUUUUUCACAGCUCUUGGACAGGCUGGUUUUAUUAGUCCGUGUGGUGGAUCAUGGAUGGGGUCCCAUGAACCAUUUUCCUUCAUUCAUCUUUCUUUAAUUAAUGUCACCGCAUCUUCUUUUUUGAUUCCAUCUCAA